Molecule: long non-coding RNA, 652 nt
Organism: Lemur catta (Ring-tailed lemur)
Lineage: Eukaryota; Metazoa; Chordata; Mammalia; Primates; Lemuridae
Exons: 3
Source: RefSeq, a predicted model, not a curated record
GUAGCGGGCGAGCGAGUGGAAGAGGCGGCCUCGGGAGCGGGCGGCUGAUGCCUGCAGGCUCAGCCGUUCCCCAGGGGCCUAAGCCUUCCACUUCAAAAUCCAGGAGCUCGUCGGCCAGCCCAGUCUUGGGCGUGACAGUCAGGGUCACGGCCUUUUGGGAGAAAAAGGACGAUGUGGACAUCGACGUCCGGGGCUGGAGGGGAACCCCUGAGGCUCGGAGCGCGGCUAGGGCUGCCCGACACAAGCUGCCGCGAUCGUCGCGUCUUUGCCCCGGGCAGACGACUGAGCGGCCCAGGAGGGUCGGCGCUCGCGGUGAGGGCCCGCCGGGCAGGGCGUGAUCCGGAGGGGCGUGGCCGCGCGGCGAUAGACCCUGCCGGGCCCGCGUUAGGACCUGGGCUGGUCCCUGGGUCGCGGCCUAGCAAAGGGCUGCAAGAAAGGGCGACGCGUUCGUGCUUUUGGAGGUCCUGUGGCGGGGUCGCCUGAAAGAGGCAGGGUCUCACGAAUUCUUAAUUAAAAUGCAUGUGUAAGAUGAGGUUAAUUAACCCACGUGAGCACAUUUCAUUAAACCACUUGUCAAGGAAGAAGAGUGUGCAUGCAACAGAGGCAACGGCCUGAGAAAGGGUCUUGCUCUAUUGCCUGGGGCUAGAGUGCA